Non-coding RNA from Ictidomys tridecemlineatus (thirteen-lined ground squirrel), 1801 nucleotides. The record is from RefSeq and is a predicted model, not a curated record. NCBI's taxonomy places the organism in Eukaryota, Metazoa, Chordata, Mammalia, Rodentia, Sciuridae.
AUAGGCCAGACUCCCUAGUGCCUUAUACCAACACCUCAAAAUUCUAUAUGCUAGAUUUUACAUACCAGGAAGGGCAGUGGGCAAUCUUUACCUUUCCCCUAUAUCCUGGGCCAACUUCAUGGAGAUUUGCUCUAACUUGAUGCAAUCUAUGAAGGACAGUGAGCAGAACCAGAGAAUUUUGCUUGGUUCAACUAAGCAGCGUGAGAGAAAGCAGGGAAGCCACUGAGGAAAGGCUGUCUCUCAGCACCAUCCUGCCCAAGGAGGAAAGAAAGGCUUGACCUCCUAACAUUUAGCAUCAGGACCUCUUCCUUGGGGCUGGGAUGAGGGAGAAAGUGUUGCCUGUUUGAAGCCACCUCCUGAGAGUAAUCAGAAGUAGUCAAAUAUAUUAUAAACAGGAGUAUAUAAGUGUUAAAUAAGUGGAGAGAGAAAAAUCAGUUGUGAGGUACUCCUAAAAAGUAAUAAGGCACUAAUUAAGUAAUAAUAAGUCAUAUUUUAAAACACAGGCACUAGAACUUAUGUGAUCAAAUGAGCAGCGUUCCUUUCCAAAUAGUCCCUUUGGGAAAAUAAACAGUUAUUCUAACAACGCUGCCAUAGAUCAAACUAUUUCUGGAACUGGAACAUUAUCUUUCAAGGCUGUUUACUAGUUCCACCAGAAAAGAGCCUCACUAGAUGGAUCGCAUCUCAUUUUUCACAAUUGAAACCAACUCUGUACAGCUUCAGAAUCCAUCAGACACCUUUCAAGAGCUUGCUUGGGAAGUAAAAAGGCCCUGGCCUGGAGCUGGGCUCAGAGGGUGGGCAGCAGCAGAGGAGCCAGCACCCCACAGGGUCCUCCGUCUUAAUUGCCUAGUGUCAGUGACCCCCAGGCCUGAGAUCUCCCACCUCCUACUCCAUCAGUGAGCCCGUGAGGAUUCUGUCUUUAUAGCCUAGUUCUUACUCAGUAAGUUCUUCAGGCAUUGAUAUUUGGGGGCUGUAGUCCAGCCCCUCAGAGUUCUUCUCAAUGGACUCUCACUUUUACCAACAAGUCAAGGAAGUGUACUUUGCAGACCUCCAAUAAGGGUAAUUAAGCAGCAGCAUAAUUGACAAAGUCCUUAACUACUGUGCUACUCAUGGAGGUCAAGCCUCUGCCACCGAGUGUUCCCAGCCCACAGUGGACCAAGGCAAGUAACAUUUCCAGAGAUGUGGAACUUUGGCUUGAGGGCUCCUAGUGACCUUGCCUAACCUCCCCUGGAUUGCAUGGGAAUCUAGGAAGCUUUCACCCAUUCUCCUCUUCUCUCCCUCACUCGGGAUUAGACUUGCAUGGAGGUCUGAGGACCCUCCAAGUCACCCUACCCGUUUUAUCUCAUGUACGGGCUGACUAUGAGAUUUUAAGAUAUUGCUUCUAACUGUGAAACAGGAUCUCAAAGCACCUCGCAGAAAAACUUUCUUACUUGGAAAACUGAUGUAGAAGUAACACAGAACAAUGAACAUCUUGUUAAAUGUGGAAAACCUCUUUGUCCUUUUAGCCUGAGAGCUGCAACCUUGGUUGAUCUGUUGAGGUAGAAUAUAUCAGCUGCAGAAUUAAAGAGUCUGUUGAUCUUCUCAACUACGAUUUGAGUUACUGGAAAAUGGGAACCAUGAUGACUCAUCACUGUAUAUUCUGGAAUAUGCUACAAUUCUUUACGGAUGUCAAUAAACUUCUUCAAGAUCCACAUUAUAAAUAUUUGAUCUCUGUGGGACAUAUGGUUUUGGUCACACUACUCAGCUCUCAUUGUAUUGCAAAAGUUGUCAUAGAUAACUUUUAAUAAAGACACCCAUAAACAAA